GGGUCGUUAGCUUAGUGGUAGAGCAGCGGACUCUUAAUCCGUCGGUCGAGCGUUCGAAUCGCUCACGACCCACCA
RNAcentral lists this transfer RNA (75 nucleotides) under Actinobacillus sp. Its description in RNAcentral is "tRNA-Lys(ctt)". It matches the Rfam family "tRNA". From Rfam's summary of the family: Transfer RNA (tRNA) molecules are approximately 80 nucleotides in length. Lineage: Bacteria; Pseudomonadati; Pseudomonadota; Gammaproteobacteria; Pasteurellales; Pasteurellaceae. RNAcentral also lists the same sequence under 4 other names. The record is from RNAcentral.